CUAUAUAGUUUUAUUCAUGGACCAUAAUUUUAUAUCCGCAACGCAGGCUUCGUCAGGUGAUAGCAAACUCUAAAUCAGCUACAGGGUUCGUCACAAAACAAUACAGCGGUAAAAUCUGCAACAGGCUUCGUCAACUUACCCUAAAAAUACCUAUA
This is a long non-coding RNA of Cydia splendana, 155 nucleotides long. RefSeq lists it as uncharacterized. The transcript is spliced from 2 exons. Lineage: Eukaryota; Metazoa; Arthropoda; Insecta; Lepidoptera; Tortricidae. The record is from RefSeq and is a predicted model, not a curated record.